Molecule: long non-coding RNA, 625 nt
Organism: Polistes dominula (European paper wasp)
Lineage: Eukaryota; Metazoa; Arthropoda; Insecta; Hymenoptera; Vespidae
Source: RefSeq, a predicted model, not a curated record
CCAAUCGUUAGACUGCUAUGCUUGCUACGAAAUAAUAAAGUUUUGGAGCCACCGUAGAACUUCUUAACUCCAAAGCAACUUCUAUCCCAUGUUAUUAACAGAUAUUUAUAAAUAUUUGCAAUGAUGGGACAAGAUGCAUUCAUCGAGACGUUCAAACGUUUCCCAUUUAUGAGAAAUGUCCUCGAGUGUCUCACACAAAGAUGGGAUGCAUUGCGAAAUGCAUUUCUCGUUCUUAUUCAACCAACUAUUUCCUUUAUUGAGAUUACUAAAAUUUACCUGCUGAAGCGUUGUCAAAAGUCCAGAAUCACCAGGUGGCAAACGAAUAUGUUUAAAGGCAUUGUAACCUUGUAAACGUUGCAGAAUCAACACCAAUAGUUCUGCACCGGCACCAGGUACACGUGUCAGCAUGAUGAAAGACGAUGAAGAGAGAAGGACGUAUUAAAAAAAAAAAGUAGCCUUGCAAUUGGAAAAAUCUACACCUCAGAAACGUGAGAAAGAAACAUAUAAAGCGUGAGAAGAUCGCCUCGACGCGAUUGCAUCCUAUGAUGAUGCACUUUCACUGGAGACACGUUCCUCUAUUGAAGCAAAGUCGAAUAGAGGAUCGUGACUUCUUCAAAAUGACAAC